RNAcentral lists this ribosomal RNA (253 nucleotides) under uncultured bacterium. RNAcentral's name for it is "partial 16S ribosomal RNA". It matches the Rfam family "Bacterial small subunit ribosomal RNA", at positions 524 to 776 of the family's 1533-position model. The record is from RNAcentral.
UACGAAGGGUGCUAGCGUUGCUCGGAAUUACUGGGCGUAAAGCGCACGUAGGCGGUCUUUUAAGUCGGGGGUGAAAUCCUGGAGCUCAACUCCAGAACUGCCUUCGAUACUGAAAGACUUGAGUCCGGGAGAGGUGAGUGGAACUGCGAGUGUAGAGGUGAAAUUCGUAGAUAUUCGCAAGAACACCAGUGGCGAAGGCGACUCACUGGCCCGGUACUGACGCUGAGGUGCGAAAGCGUGGGGAGCAAACAGG